AUGGCUGGUUCCUCCUCCACACCAGACCCAUGGCUCAACCCAUUCCCCACUGGCAAGGGCUGGGUUGCCAUGCUAUUUGGUUCGGCGCGCGGUGACCAGGAUCUAUUCCUGGACUACAUGAAGAUAGCUACGAGAUACAACAAUGUGGAUGGACUAGUAGAUGUUGCUGACCUAGUCCAGAAGAAGGCGACGCCUCAAGAGAAGAAGUGCAUGCAGCAGAGCUAUGGAACUAAAGGUAAGGGUAUCCUGCCCAUCGACACUCUACUAUGGGCAAUGAGAGAGGCAGACUCCUCCGAUGAUGUCCAGCAUAAGCGACGGGAAGCCCAUCGCUAUGUUGCUCCGGCAAAAGCUGCAACUGAUGUAGCAGUGCAGGAAGAGGAUGACGACGACUUGCAGAUAGUUGCGCCACCUGCAGAGCAGGCUCACCGCCGUCCCCUCCCAUCAUCGUCAUCGAUGAAGAUGAUGAAGAGGAGGAAGUGA
Molecule: ribosomal RNA, 480 nt
Filed under: Triticum aestivum (bread wheat)
Lineage: Eukaryota; Viridiplantae; Streptophyta; Magnoliopsida; Poales; Poaceae
Description: partial small subunit ribosomal RNA
Source: RNAcentral